Long non-coding RNA from Rhododendron vialii, 3658 nucleotides. RefSeq lists it as uncharacterized. The record is from RefSeq and is a predicted model, not a curated record. The transcript has 3 exons. NCBI's taxonomy places the organism in Eukaryota, Viridiplantae, Streptophyta, Magnoliopsida, Ericales, Ericaceae.
UUGUGGUGCAAGUGGAGGCGGUGGAAGUGCUUUUGCAGAGCGAGUCUCUUCACGAGGCCGAAAUGAGUCGAAGAAGGAAAGAGGGAAAUUGUGGGAGAAAGAUGAGUUGUGAUUCCAGAGGAAUUGGGUUUAUUAUAGGAGGAGAAAGAGGACUUUGGAGGCUGGAAUUUGGAGGGUUGAUUGGAUUUUUCGCAGAGGAGAAGCAGAGAGUGGCUGUGGCCAUUUCUGCAGCAAUCGAAUCCGGCUCCGGCAACAAUCAACUCCAUCUCCGGCAGCAAUAGACUCCGACUCCAGCAACGGCAAAACAGGUAAAGAAUUGGACAAAAGAAAGACCGGAUAUCUUCAACAAAAUCAAAACACAAUUUAGCCCCACAUGUUAUGCGUAUUCAAGUGUGAGUAUCUGUGAGACUAUCCAUGCUAUGAAGAGCGGAGAAAUCAUAGAGUUAUCAGUGCAACAUCUUCUCGAUUCGAUUCUCGCAGUGAACCGGAGCGUUAAGAGAAAUAUUCCUUAUGGGAAUUGUCUACGUGCCCUGUAGCAUAUGCAAAGCCUGCAACAUAUACAAAGCAAUGGAUUAUCCUUGGAAAAAGGACUAUCCAAAUGAGCUUCGGGGCAAAGACUGUGUGGCUCCAGUAGUGGUAAGUACUCUACAUCCAUUUAAUGUAUGUGCCUGGAGCUUAUGAAAGUGGUUAAGUAGUAGCAUGAAUUUGAUCUUAGUUUUUGAGUUAUUUUCAUUAGUAUAUAACUGGACCAUCUGUUGGUAUAAUUAGAAUGUGAUUAUAGAUUUCAUGAUGCAUCUUGAGUUGAAACAAGUCAUUGCCAUAUGCUGGCUUUAUUACACUUGAAACUUAGGGGUAGUCUCUACUCUCUAGAAAUACCUGAAAUCUACAAUACUUUUAGCAAAAUAAGAGGAUAUUACACAAGUUUCUUAUUUUGGAAAAUGAGUUUUAUCACUAGUGGUAGUCAUGACCUUGUCACUUGUCUUGAAGGUUCAAAUCAAGAUACAUCAUGAAAUCUAUAUUCACAUUCUAAUUAUAACCUAGAGAUGGUCCAGUUAUAUCCUAACGAAAAUAACUCAAAAACUAAGAUCAAAUUCUUGCCACUACUGAGGCACAUAUAUAUUUAAUGGAUGUAGAGUACUUACCACUACUGGAAGUCACGCAGUCUCUGUCCCGAAGCUCAUUUGGAUAGUCUUUUUCCAAAGACAAUCCAUUGCUUUGUAUAUGCUCUAGGGCACAUAGCAUCUUCUUGCUCCGGUUCACUGUGGGAAUCGAAUCAAGAAGAUGUUGCACUGAUAACUCUAUGUUUUCUCCGCUCUUCAUAGCAUGGAUAGUCUCACAUAUACUCACACUUGAAUACGCAUAGCAUGUGGCUUUUCAGACAAAAAAAACAUAUUACUUCUAAUUGAUGGGAAAUUAGAGAGCAACUCAUCUCACACGAAAUAACUUGUAUUAAAUCCCUAAAAAUACAUAAUUACGGAACUCACAUCUCCUUCUCUCUUUCACGCCACACAUGCACUCGUGGGGAUAUCCCUUGAGGGGAAUCCAACAUUAACUACAAUUUAAUUAGUUAACAAAAACUAAGCUCAGGAUACUUACGGCCAAACUAUGUUUUGAUUUUGUUGAAGAUAUUCGGCCUUUUUUUGUCCAAUUCUUUACCUAAAAUUUUAGGAAAAAUAUAGAAUAAGAAUAAAUAAUAUAAAAAUUACAAAUUACUACCCUCAAGAUUACUGACAAACACAAAUUAAACUCCUACGUUCUGAAAAUUACAUUGGCCCUUUACAUUUGAGUUUGAAAUACAUAUUCAACACCAACAUAAAACGGUCGUUAUUUGAGUUGAUCUUUGAAAAAUGACAUAAAUUGAACAUAAUUGCCAUUUUGUAGCUGUUAGAAAAGUGGAAGAACACUUUUUCACCAUUGGCAAUGGCUUAUAGCUGUUACACUUGUGCCUAUAAAUUGGAGAGAUGAAGUGUGUAGGUAAACUCCAUUUCUACUUCCAUUCACUUCACCAAAUUUUCACCUAAAUCAGACCAGACCAUUUGUCAGGCUAUCGUUCUCUUGUUCCUUCAAAGUUAUGUGACCUCCAUUUCUCUAUUCAUUCACUAGUCACUACACUAAAUAGGCUUAACCUCAAUGUCUCCUCCCAUUCAGUAUAUGCAUGCAGAUUUGGAAUGCUUUUAAGUAUAAAAAUCUGGAAAAAAUGUGAUGGAUUGCUUGUUUCUAUGUUGUGGUAUGGUCAAUUUGGAUGGGGUGAAAUGAGAUUGUUUUUUUAAACGAAAAACGUUGAAUUUGGGGGAAGUUAUUGAUCUAGCAAAAACAAGGAUGGCUUUUUGGGUGAAAGGGAAAUACAAGGUUAGUGGCUACUCAAUUGAAGAUUUCAGAAGGAGCUUGGACGGCAUAAGGAGAUUAAUGAUUCAAAAGUUAAAGGAUCGGAAAACACAUUAUAGUUGCUUAUGUGUGUUGUGUGGGUAUGUAAUGUGUGUUUAUAGAGAAAUCUGGGUUGGUUUUGGGUUUUAGUAAAACAUUGUUGCAUCUUACAUGGGUCUGUGGGUGGUCCACACCAAUGGGUCUUUGUUUUUGUGGAGGCUUUAUGUGUUUUGUGUCUGUAUCGUAUCUGUAUUGUUUUGGUAAGGGUUUGUGUAUUAAUAAGGGUUCUAUUAGAAGUCAGUCUUAUGUUUGGUGUCUGCUUAUGUUGAGUCUUAAGGGAGGGGAGUCUGUCUUAAUUGAGUCUUGAGUCGAGUCUGUGUCAUGAGUCUUACAAUGGCCUAUUUUUAAGCUUCCCAUUUCUGCAUAUGGGAAUGUUCCUGGCUGCUGAUAUGAACCAUGGGCCUCCAAUCUAGGCCCUCUCCACACUUGUUUUGAAGAUUCUGCUACUGCUACUGUUAUGUUUGGUGCUAUUUGCUGGCUGCUGCUGUGGACAAUGAUAUUGCUGGUUUGCUGUUAUGGGUGUACACAAUGGGCCUCCUUUUUUUUGGCCCUCUCUACUAUUGUUUGAAGAUUUUGCUGCCGUUAAGGUUAUCUUUGGUGCUGUUUUUGCUGGAUGCUGUUACUAAUGAUAUUGCUACAUGGGAGGCUUUAAGAAACAGAUCCAGGAGUGAAGACUCAAUGGACUAAAACUGUGUCAAAAAUGAUCCAUCAUCCUAUGGCUAACCUGUCUGCAGAGAUUGUCAACUAAGGAUCGUCUCCUAAGAUGGGGUAUGGAAGUUGAUCCGGGUAGUGUUCUGUGUUCCCACAACGCAGAAUCAAUUCAACAUUUGUUUUUUGACUGUUCAUUUUCCAGGAGUAUUUGGGAACCUAUUCUGCGGAAAUUUCAGAUCCAAAGAAGGGCUGAUGUUUGGGAUCCAGAGCUGAAUGGGGCAUGUGGUUUGUGCAGGAGUAAGUCAUUCAGGUCUUUGCUAUUCAAAAUUUGCUCUUGCUGCUGGGGUUUACUUCAUCUGGGUUGAGCGUAAUUCUAGAGUCAGUUUCCAAACUCCAUGGAGAACCAAAGACUUUGUAGUCAAUGAAAUAUCUCCACUAGAGUUCUCGGAUCUGCUCGUAGGAGUUCGUUUGGUUGGUUUUUAGUUUGUUGUAGGUUUCUUUUGUGUACAGCAGUCUGUUUAGUGGUUUUGUACCUGAGAUUUUUCAAUCGGUUGGUUAUAAAAUGGCUCAUUUACCAUAAAAA